RNAcentral lists this ribosomal RNA (503 nucleotides) under uncultured bacterium. RNAcentral describes it as "partial 16S ribosomal RNA". It matches the Rfam family "Bacterial small subunit ribosomal RNA", at positions 30 to 523 of the family's 1533-position model. The record is from RNAcentral.
AUUGAACGCUGGCGGCAGGCUUAACACAUGCAAGUCGAGCGGGGUGAUGGUGCUUGCACUAUCACUUAGCGGCGGACGGGUGAGUAAUGCUUAAGAAUCUGCCUAUUAGUGGGGGACAACAUCUCGAAAGGGAUGCUAAUACCGCAUACGUCCUACGGGAGAAAGCAGGGGAUCACUUGUGACCUUGCGCUAAUAGAUGAGCCUAAGUCGGAUUAGCUAGUUGGUGGGGUAAAGGCCUACCAAGGCGACGAUCUGUAGCGGGUCUGAGAGGAUAAUCCGCCACACUGGGACUGAGACACGGCCCAGACUCCUACGGGAGGCAGCAGUGGGGAAUAUUGGACAAUGGGGGGAACCCUGAUCCAGCCAUGCCGCGUGUGUGAAGAAGGCCUUAUGGUUGUAAAGCACUUUAAGCGAGGAGGAGGCUCCUUUGGUUAAUACCCAAGAUGAGUGGACGUUACUCGCAGAAUAAGCACCGGCUAACUCUGUGCCAGCAGCCGCGGUAA